AGCUUUGCGCAGUGGCAGUAUCGUAGCCAAUGAGGUUUAUCCGAGGCGCGAUUAUUGCUAAUUGGAAGUGCAUGGUAAGGCUCCCUUGGUCCUCCAAGUAUAGAAGUGCUGGAUUAAAAAUAGAAUUUUUAAAAAUGAAAUAAGUAA
This is a non-coding RNA of Canis lupus familiaris (dog), 147 nucleotides long. The record is from Rfam. NCBI's taxonomy places the organism in Eukaryota, Metazoa, Chordata, Mammalia, Carnivora, Canidae.